AGUGGGGGAUAACGUAGCGAAAGUUACGCUAAUACCGCAUAUUCUGUGAGCAGGAAAGCAGGGGAUCGCAAGACCUUGCGCUUUCGGAGCGGCCGAUGUCGGAUUAGCUAGUUGGUGGGGUAAAGGCCUACCAAGGCGACGAUCCGUAGCGGGUCUGAGAGGAUGAUCCGCCACACUGGGACUGAGACACGGCCCAGACUCCUACGGGAGGCAGCAGUGGGGAAUUUUGGACAAUGGGCGCAAGCCUGAUCCAGCCAUGCCGCGUGAGUGAAGAAGGCCUUCGGGUUGUAAAGCUCUUUCGGCCGGGACGAAAUCGGUGGGGCUAAUAUCCCUACUGGAUGACGGUACCGGAAUAAGAAGCACCGGCUAACUACGUGCCAGCAGCCGCGGUAAUACGUAGGGUGCGAGCGUUAAUCGGAAUUACUGGGCGUAAAGCGUGCGCAGGCGGUUAUGAAAGACAGGCGUGAAAUCCCCGGGCUUAACCUGGGAACGGCGCUUGUGACUCCAUGACUCGAGUACGGCAGAGGGGGGUGGAAUUCCA
This 541-nucleotide ribosomal RNA is filed under the name uncultured bacterium. RNAcentral's name for it is "bacterial SSU rRNA". It matches the Rfam family "Bacterial small subunit ribosomal RNA", at positions 135 to 671 of the family's 1533-position model. The record is from RNAcentral.